Molecule: unclassified non-coding RNA, 253 nt
Filed under: uncultured Enterobacteriaceae bacterium
Lineage: Bacteria; Pseudomonadati; Pseudomonadota; Gammaproteobacteria; Enterobacterales; Enterobacteriaceae
Description: contains 16S-23S intergenic spacer region
Rfam family: Bacterial small subunit ribosomal RNA
Source: RNAcentral
UACGGAGGGUGCAAGCGUUAAUCGGAAUUACUGGGCGUAAAGCGCACGCAGGCGGUCUGUCAAGUCGGAUGUGAAAUCCCCGGGCUCAACCUGGGAACUGCAUCCGAAACUGGCAGGCUAGAGUCUUGUAGAGGUCAUCGGAAUUCGUGGUGUAGCGGUGAAAUGCGUAGAUAUCACGAGGAACACCAGAGGCGUAAGCGGAUGACUGGACGGAUACUGACGCUGAGGUGCGAAAGCGUGGGGAGCAAACAGG